UACACUUAUCCGACUUGGGCGGAGUAUGUUGGUUUUCUUAUUAGCUUUUCGUCGAUGGUAUGGGUACCGGCUUACGCUAUUUAUUACGUUUUAACCGGAAAAGGUAGCGUCUUAGAGAAUUUGCGAUUGGGGUUGAAACCGAAAUUUAUACGCCGCAUGCCUAGCAAAACCGAUGAUAACUUCGCAUCUAUAGAGCAAUUCAUCUAAUUAGGUCAUUUAGAUUAAAACAAAUUACUUAGAUAUGUAUGAAACUAAUCGAUAUUAGCGCCAUUUUAUACAAUUUGAGAAAAAAGAA
Photinus pyralis (common eastern firefly) is the source of this 295-nucleotide long non-coding RNA. RefSeq lists it as uncharacterized. The record is from RefSeq and is a predicted model, not a curated record. The transcript has 2 exons. NCBI's taxonomy places the organism in Eukaryota, Metazoa, Arthropoda, Insecta, Coleoptera, Lampyridae.